Molecule: non-coding RNA, 136 nt
Organism: Brachypodium distachyon (stiff brome)
Lineage: Eukaryota; Viridiplantae; Streptophyta; Magnoliopsida; Poales; Poaceae
Source: Rfam
UUAUUACUCCCUCCGUCCAACAAAGGAUGUCUCAACUUUGACUAAAUUUGAAUGCAUUUAUACACUAAGUCAUGUCUAGAUACGUCCAAAUUUUAACAAACUUGAGACAUCUUUUGUUGGACGGGGGGAGUAUUAU